Molecule: ribosomal RNA, 614 nt
Filed under: uncultured Lachnospiraceae bacterium
Lineage: Bacteria; Bacillati; Bacillota; Clostridia; Lachnospirales; Lachnospiraceae
Description: bacterial SSU rRNA
Rfam family: Bacterial small subunit ribosomal RNA
Source: RNAcentral
CAAGUCGAACGAAGCACUUUUAUUGAUUUCUUCGGAAUGAAGAUUUAGUGACUGUGUGGCGGACGGGUGAGUAACGCGUGGGUAACCUGCCUCAUACAGGGGGAUAACAGUUAGAAAUGACUGCUAAUACCGCAUAAGACCACAGCACCGCAUGGUGCAGGGGUAAAAACUCCGGUGGUAUGAGAUGGACCCGCGUCUGAUUAGGUAGUUGGUGGGGUAACGGCCUACCAAGCCGACGAUCAGUAGCCGACCUGAGAGGGUGACCGGCCACAUUGGGACUGAGACACGGCCCAAACUCCUACGGGAGGCAGCAGUGGGGAAUAUUGCACAAUGGGGGAAACCCUGAUGCAGCGACGCCGCGUGAGCGAUGAAGUAUUUCGGUAUGUAAAGCUCUAUCAGCAGGGAAGAAAAUGACGGUACCUGACUAAGAAGCACCGGCUAAAUACGUGCCAGCAGCCGCGGUAAUACGUAUGGUGCAAGCGUUAUCCGGAUUUACUGGGUGUAAAGGGAGCGUAGACGGAGUGGCAAGUCUGAUGUGAAAACCCGGGGCUCAACCCCGGGACUGCAUUGGAAACUGUCAAUCUGGAGUACCGGAGGGGUAAGCGGAAUUCCUA